Molecule: ribosomal RNA, 460 nt
Filed under: uncultured bacterium
Lineage: Bacteria
Description: partial 16S ribosomal RNA
Rfam family: Bacterial small subunit ribosomal RNA
Source: RNAcentral
CCUACGGGUGGCAGCAGUGAGGAAUAUUGGUCAAUGGACGAGAGUCUGAACCAGCCACGUAGCGUGAAGGAUGACUGCCCUAUGGGUUGUAAACUUCUUUUAUAUGGGAAUAAAACGUUCCACGUGUGGGAUUUUGUAUGUACCAUAUGAAUAAGGAUCGGCUAACUCCGUGCCAGCAGCCGAGGUAAUACGGAGGAUCCGAGCGUUAUCCGGAUUUAUUGGGUUUAAAGGGAGCGUAGGUGGAUUGGUAAGUCAGUUGUGAAAGUUUGCGACUCAACCGUAAAAUUGCAGUUGAAACUGGCAGUCUUGAGUACAGUAGAGGUGGGCGGAAUUCGUGGUGUAGCGGUGAAAUGCUUAGAUAUCACGAAGAACUCCGAUUGCGAAGGCAGUUCACUGGACUGCAACUGACACUGAGGCUCGAAAGUGUGGGUAUCAAACAGGAUUAGAUACCCGUGUAGUC